RNAcentral lists this transfer RNA (67 nucleotides) under Rastrelliger kanagurta (Indian mackerel). RNAcentral describes it as "tRNA-Cys". Lineage: Eukaryota; Metazoa; Chordata; Actinopteri; Scombriformes; Scombridae. The record is from RNAcentral.
AGCCCCGAGGUGUUUGUCAUAUUAGAUUGCAAAUCUUAAGGAGCAGACUAACCGUCUGCCGGGGCUU